This 298-nucleotide ribosomal RNA is filed under the name Ice core clone 144-13. RNAcentral describes it as "partial 18S ribosomal RNA". It matches the Rfam family "Eukaryotic small subunit ribosomal RNA", at positions 601 to 907 of the family's 1831-position model. The record is from RNAcentral. RNAcentral also lists the same sequence under 3 other names.
AUAUUUAAGUUGUUGCAGUUAAAAAGCUCGUAGUUGGAUUUCGGGUGGGUUGCAAUGGUCCGGUUCGCUGUGUACUGUUGCGGCCUUCCUUUCUGCCGGGGACGGGCUCUUGGGCUUCACUGUCUGGGAUCCGGAGUCGGCGAGGUUACUUUGAGUAAAUUAGAGUGUUCAAAGCAAGCUUACGCUCUGAAUACAUUAGCAUGGAAUAACACGAUAGGACUCUGGCCUAUCUUGUUGGUCUGUAGGACUGGAGUAAUGAUUAAGAGGGACAGUCGGGGGCAUUCGUAUUUCAUUGUCA